Molecule: ribosomal RNA, 254 nt
Filed under: uncultured bacterium
Lineage: Bacteria
Description: partial 16S ribosomal RNA
Rfam family: Bacterial small subunit ribosomal RNA
Source: RNAcentral
UACGUAGGGUGCGAGCGUUGUCCGGAAUUACUGGGCGUAAAGAGUUCGUAGGCGGUUUGUCGCGUCUGCCGUGAAAGUCCGGGGCUCAACUCCGGAUCUGCGGUGGGUACGGGCAGACUAGAGUGAUGUAGGGGAGACUGGAAUUCCUGGUGUAGCGGUGAAAUGCGCAGAUAUCAGGAGGAACACCGAUGGCGAAGGCAGAUCUCUGGGCCGUAACUGACGCUGAGGAGCGAAAGCAUGGGGGAGCGAACAGG